Molecule: ribosomal RNA, 207 nt
Filed under: uncultured bacterium
Lineage: Bacteria
Description: partial 16S ribosomal RNA
Rfam family: Bacterial small subunit ribosomal RNA
Source: RNAcentral
UACGGAGGGUGCAAGCGUUAUCCGGAUUCACUGGGUUUAAAGGGUGUGUAGGCGGAUUUUUAAGUCAGUGGUGAAAUCUCCGGGCUCAACCCGGAAACUGCCAUUGAUACUAUUAGUCUUGAAUUCUGUUGAGGUGGGCGGAAUACAUCAUGUAGCGGUGAAAUGCUUAGAUAUGAUGUAGAACACCGAUUGCGAAGGCAGCUCACU